CGUGUAGGCGGUUAGAGAAGUUAACGGUGAAAUAAUCGGGCUUAACCUGGUUGCUGCCGUUAAAACUGACUAGCUAGAGUGAAGUAGAGGGAAGUGGAAUUUCCAGUGUAGCGGUGAAAUGCGUAGAGAUUGGAAAGAACACCAUUGGCGAAGGCGCUUCCUGGACUAGAACUGACGCUAAAGCGCGAAAGCAUGGGGAGCAAACA
This 206-nucleotide ribosomal RNA is filed under the name uncultured bacterium. Its description in RNAcentral is "partial 16S ribosomal RNA". It matches the Rfam family "Bacterial small subunit ribosomal RNA", at positions 568 to 774 of the family's 1533-position model. The record is from RNAcentral.